GUUUGAUGAUUAACGAAGCUUGGUUGAUUAGUAGAGGCAAGAAGUCGUGCCCACAUCCUGCCUGUCAUGUUAACGGUGUUUGUAGUUUCAGUGACACGAUUAAUUGGAAUAUAAGCAUGUCUGCUGUUUACAGGUCCAACUGUGAAGCCUGUGAAUCCAGCCAUCGCUCCAUGGACAGCACUUUGUGCAAGAAGUGUACAGUAGAUGUUAUCUGAUGCAUUGCUUGGAAUUG
RNAcentral lists this unclassified non-coding RNA (232 nucleotides) under Hevea brasiliensis (rubber tree). Lineage: Eukaryota; Viridiplantae; Streptophyta; Magnoliopsida; Malpighiales; Euphorbiaceae. The record is from RNAcentral.